GUGCUUGCUUCGGCAGCACAUAUACUAAAAUUGGAACGAUGCAGAGAAAAUUAGCAUGGCCCUUGUGCAAGGAUAACAUGCAGACUUGUGAAGUGUUCGAUAUUUUU
This is a small nuclear RNA of Molossus molossus (Pallas's mastiff bat), 107 nucleotides long. The record is from RefSeq and is a predicted model, not a curated record. NCBI's taxonomy places the organism in Eukaryota, Metazoa, Chordata, Mammalia, Chiroptera, Molossidae.